UUACCGGUUUUUUUAAAACAUUGGUCUAUAGUGAUAGCCCACAUGAAAACCAUCAACAUUAUUAAAAAAAUUAAUU
RNAcentral lists this non-coding RNA (76 nucleotides) under Helianthus annuus (common sunflower). RNAcentral describes it as "Histone 3' UTR stem-loop". It matches the Rfam family "Histone 3' UTR stem-loop". Rfam says of the family: The mRNAs of metazoan histone genes lack a poly-A tail. 3' end processing occurs at a site between a highly conserved stem-loop (modelled by this family) and a purine rich region around 20 nts downstream (the histone downstream element, or HDE). Lineage: Eukaryota; Viridiplantae; Streptophyta; Magnoliopsida; Asterales; Asteraceae. The record is from RNAcentral.